This 253-nucleotide ribosomal RNA is filed under the name uncultured bacterium. RNAcentral's name for it is "partial 16S ribosomal RNA". It matches the Rfam family "Bacterial small subunit ribosomal RNA", at positions 524 to 776 of the family's 1533-position model. The record is from RNAcentral.
UACGUAGGGGGCAAGCGUUGUCCGGAUUCAUUGGGCGUAAAGAGCGUGUAGGCGGCCAGGUAGGUCGGUUGUGAAAACUGGAGGCUCAACCUUCAGAGGUCGACCGAAACCAUCUGGCUAGAGUCCGGGAGAGGAGAGUGGAAUUCCUGGUGUAGCGGUGAAAUGAGCAGAUAUCAGGAAGAACACCCGUGGCGAAAGCGGCUCUCUGGAACGGUACUGACGCUGAGACGCGAAAGCGUGGGGAGCGAACAGG